RNAcentral lists this ribosomal RNA (447 nucleotides) under uncultured bacterium. RNAcentral's name for it is "partial 16S ribosomal RNA". It matches the Rfam family "Bacterial small subunit ribosomal RNA", at positions 329 to 792 of the family's 1533-position model. The record is from RNAcentral.
UCCCAGACUCCUACGGGAGGCAGCAGUGGGGGAUAUUGCACAAUGGGGGGAACCCUGAUGCAGCGACGCCGCGUGGGUGAAGAAGCGCCUCGGCGCGUAAAGCCCUUUCAGCAGGGAAGAAAAUGACGGUACCUGAAGAAGAAGCCCCGGCUAACUACGUGCCAGCAGCCGCGGUAAUACGUAGGGGGCAAGCGUUAUCCGGAUUUACUGGGUGUAAAGGGAGCGUAGACGGCAGUGCAAGUCUGGAGUGAAAGGCGGGGGCUCAACCCCCGGGACUGCUCUUGGAACUGCGCGGCUGGAGUGCAGGAGGGGCAGGCGGAAUUCCUUGUGUAGCGGUGAAAUGCGUAGAUAUAAGGAAGAACACCAGUGGCGAAGGCGGAUGACUGGACGGCAACCGACGGUGAGGCGCGAAAGCGUGGGGAGCAAACAGGAUUAGAUACCCCAGUU